Molecule: long non-coding RNA, 534 nt
Organism: Pecten maximus
Lineage: Eukaryota; Metazoa; Mollusca; Bivalvia; Pectinida; Pectinidae
Exons: 2
Source: RefSeq, a predicted model, not a curated record
UGCUCUAUCUUUCAGUUGGUCUCUGUCUGCUUAUGCAUGUGGCCACAGGGGAUACGUGCACAUGUAGUUAAGUACGGCCAUCAUUUAAGAAAGGACUGAUUUCACAGCGGAAGUUCUCAGAUCUUCUCAGAGAGAGAGUUAUAUCCCAUAGGCCACAAUGAUUCCGGAAAUACAUUUGCUUAAGAAGGUUACACCAAUUUCCUAUGAUGAAUGGCCCCACUGGACACCGAGGAAUAAGGUGGAAUCGAACGCUAUUUUGUUUGGUGGCAGAUCCCAUAAUGGAAUCAAGAAUUACAUUUAUAUGAGCUAACCACGGGGGACGGACAUGUUCGCCGCUCCACACAGACCGAUCAGGGCAUCACCGGAUCAAGGACUGUACGUAUGACGUCACGCAUUGAUUGGGAAGCUAUUUGCGGAGCUGGCGAUCAUGUGGUCAUUUCCUCAUAGACAGGGACGUAUAUUACUGGUGGUAUCGGAGAGAACGAUGCCACGAUAGGUAUUAUUUUGGAAGUAAAGAUGCUCUCAUCACCAUAA